GGCUGGUUAGCUCAGUCAGUUGAGCGUGGCAAUAACAAUGCCAAGGUCACGGGUUCAAUUCCCAUUCGGUCC
RNAcentral lists this transfer RNA (72 nucleotides) under Apaloderma vittatum (bar-tailed trogon). It matches the Rfam family "tRNA". Rfam says of the family: Transfer RNA (tRNA) molecules are approximately 80 nucleotides in length. Their secondary structure includes four short double-helical elements and three loops (D, anti-codon, and T loops). The record is from Rfam by way of RNAcentral. Lineage: Eukaryota; Metazoa; Chordata; Aves; Trogoniformes; Trogonidae.